ACAGUACUCCCCCCAUCCGAAAAUACUCAUCGGAAAAAUGGAUGUAUCUAGAUGUAUUUUAGUUCUAGAUACAUCUAUUUUUUAUCAAUUUCUCCGACAGUAUUUUCGGACGGAGGGAGUACUAU
Non-coding RNA from Triticum aestivum (bread wheat), 125 nucleotides. The record is from Rfam. NCBI's taxonomy places the organism in Eukaryota, Viridiplantae, Streptophyta, Magnoliopsida, Poales, Poaceae.